AACUUUCAACAACGGAUCUCUUGGUUCCGGCAUCGAUGAAGAACGCAGCGAAAUGCGAUAAGUAAUGUGAAUUGCAGAAUUCCGUGAAUCAUCGAAUCUUUGAACGCACAUUGCGCCCUCUGGUAUUCCGGGGGGCAUGCCUGUUCGAGCGUCAUUGCAACCCCUCAAGCACA
RNAcentral lists this ribosomal RNA (173 nucleotides) under Aphanoascus keratinophilus. RNAcentral describes it as "5.8S ribosomal RNA". The stretch from base 1 to 154 matches the Rfam family "5.8S ribosomal RNA". From Rfam's summary of the family: 5.8S ribosomal RNA (5.8S rRNA) is a component of the large subunit of the eukaryotic ribosome. The record is from RNAcentral. Lineage: Eukaryota; Fungi; Ascomycota; Eurotiomycetes; Onygenales; Onygenaceae.